UGCAGUCGAGCGAAGACUUCGGUCUUAGCGGCAGACGGGUGAGUAACGCGUGGGAACCUACCCAGUCCUUCGGAAUAGCUCCUGGAAACGGGAAUUAAUACCGGAUACGCCCUUUUGGGGAAAGAUUUAUCGGGAUUGGAUGGGCCCGCGUUUGAUUAGGUAGUUGGUGGGGUAAUGGCCUACCAAGCCGACGAUCAAUAGCUGGUCUGAGAGGAUGAUCAGCCACACUGGGACUGAGACACGGCCCAGACUCCUACGGGAGGCAGCAGUGGGGAAUAUUGGACAAUGGGGGCAACCCUGAUCCAGCCAUGCCGCGUGAGUGAUGAAGGCCCUAGGGUUGUAAAGCUCUUUCAGCAGGGAUGAUAAUGACAGUACCUGCAGAAGAAGCCCCGGCUAACUUCGUGCCAGCAGCCGCGGUAAUACGAAGGGGGCUAGCGUUGUUCGGAAUUACUGGGCGUAAAGCGCACGUAGGCGGAUAUUUAAGUCAGGGGUGAAAUCCCGGAGCUCAACUCCGGAACUGCCUUUGAUACUGGAUAUCUAGAGUCCGAGAGAGGUGAGUGGAACUCCUAGUGUAGAGGUGGAAUUCGUAGAUAUUAGGAAGAACACCAGUGGCGAAGGCGGCUCACUGGCUCGGUACUGACGCUGAGGUGCGAAAGC
This 657-nucleotide ribosomal RNA is filed under the name Pelagibacterium lentulum. RNAcentral describes it as "bacterial SSU rRNA". It matches the Rfam family "Bacterial small subunit ribosomal RNA", at positions 56 to 760 of the family's 1533-position model. The record is from RNAcentral. Lineage: Bacteria; Pseudomonadati; Pseudomonadota; Alphaproteobacteria; Hyphomicrobiales; Devosiaceae.